GCUUAACGCGAAGAACCUUACCAGGGCUUGAAUGCAUUAUGACAGGGGUGGAGACACCUUUUCCUUCGGGCAUUUUGCAAGGUGCUGCAUGGUUGUCGUCAGCUCGUGCCGUGAGGUGUCAGGUUAAGUCCUAUAACGAGCGCAACCCCUACCGUUAGUUGCCAGCGGGUCAUGCCGGGGACUCUAGCGGGACUGCCGGUGCAAACCGUGAGGAAGGUGGGGAUGACGUCAAAUCAUCACGGCCCUUACGUCCUGGGCCACACACGUGCUACAAUGGCCGGUACAGAGAGCGGCCACGCCGCAAGGCGGAGCGAAUCUACAAAACCGGUCACAGUUCGGAUCGGGGUCUGCAACCCGACCCCGUGAAGCUGGAAUCGCUAGUAAUCGGAUAUCAGCCAUGAUCCGGUGAAUACGUUCCCGGGUCUUGUACACACCG
RNAcentral lists this ribosomal RNA (436 nucleotides) under uncultured bacterium. RNAcentral describes it as "bacterial SSU rRNA". It matches the Rfam family "Bacterial small subunit ribosomal RNA", at positions 954 to 1392 of the family's 1533-position model. The record is from RNAcentral.